This 432-nucleotide ribosomal RNA is filed under the name uncultured bacterium. RNAcentral's name for it is "partial 16S ribosomal RNA". It matches the Rfam family "Bacterial small subunit ribosomal RNA", at positions 29 to 506 of the family's 1533-position model. The record is from RNAcentral.
AGCGAACGCUGGCGGCAGGCCUAACACAUGCAAGUCGAACGAACUCUUCGGAGUUAGCGGCGGACGGGUGAGUAACACGUGGGAACGUGCCUUUUGGUUCGGAAUAACUCAGGGAAACUUGUGCUAAUACCGAAUGUGCCCUUCGGGGGAAAGAUUUAUCGCCAUUAGAGCGGCCCGCGUCUGAUUAGCUAGUUGGUGAGGUAACGGCUCACCAAGGCGACGAUCAGUAGCUGGGCUGAGAGGAUGACCAGCCACACUGGGACUGAGACACGGCCCCGACUCCUACGGGAGGGAGCAGUGGGGAAUCUUGCGCAAUGGGCGAAAGCCUGACGCAGCCAUGCCGCGUGAAUGAUGAAGGUCUUAGGAUUGUAAAAUUCUUUCACCGGGGACGAUAAUGACGGUACCGGGAGAAGAAGCCCCGGCUAACUUCGU